Molecule: long non-coding RNA, 753 nt
Organism: Hyposmocoma kahamanoa
Lineage: Eukaryota; Metazoa; Arthropoda; Insecta; Lepidoptera; Cosmopterigidae
Exons: 5
Source: RefSeq, a predicted model, not a curated record
CUUCCCCAGAAGAACUCAUUGUUUUAAACACUUCACUCUUGAUUUCGGAGCCGGAUUUAUUAGUUUAUUUGCUGGGGUCACUGGACUGUUACAUGCAAGCCAGUAUUUUUGGUAUCCAUGCAAAUUAUUGUACAAAGCAGAGGGACUAUUUCAAAUCCCAAUGAUAGUAUUUUUAGUUAUUUUAAGUGUAUGUGGUUCCCUACUAUGCAUCACCGCGCUGGUAUUUAUCUGCGGUAUAGCGAUGAAAAUACCAAAAGUUAUACCGGUGUUUGUGGUAGCAUUACUUAUGCUACCUUUUUCACUACUUCUAUUUCAUGUGAUGGCGUUAGUUCGAGUUUUGGUCGACAAGAUUUGGUGUCCUAUAGCAUUAAUGGGAAUAAAGGUCAUACCAGAGUUCUAUUAUGGCGUAGAGAUUGUCCUCAGUAUAGGCAUUGGAAUUGUUUUUACCGAUUUUGCCAUGGUAAUCAAUUCCUUUAAUGUUGAAGAGGACGAGGUUGAAUAAAUAAAUACAUACUCCAUUUUGUGAAGAACUACAAAUUUUCGCGCACAGCCGAUGACAACUGUCAGCCACACACAGGUCUCGCCCAUAUCAUAUUAAACAUUAAAAAAUUACAGAAUGACUUGGCGCUGCUCAUUUUUGCUAUGCACCGCUCUGGAUGUGUCUGCGUAACAGCGGACUGCCCUCUGCCUUUGAUGCCCAGGUGAGUUCGUGCGAGGUGAUCGAGAAAAUUAUGACCAUGGACACGACAAACG